AGUCUUUUUAGCUUGAUUUUUGUUAUAACGUUGAAAAGGUGGUUAAAAAGGGUUUGCGAUUUUUGUAGAAAUUGUAGUCGAGGAGUGUUGCAAACGUGCAGUGUAGUGCGUUUAGACGCGAAUAAUGUUUAGAGAAAGUGUUAAAUAUUGUAAAAGCUAUUAAGUCUUGUUCUGCAAAAGCGGAAGUGGCUCAGGAAACAGAAGUAGGCCGGCCGGGCAACCAAGAGCUAGUUUUUUAGCUAUAUUCCGGUAGGCCUUGUGUGUUUGGUGGGAGUGGUGGAAACUAUAGAGUAAUCCAUAUUUGACAUGGAUCACCUUCCAAAAACUCCCACCAUACUCUACACCGCCAGUAGAAGGAAGUCAACUAAGCCACGGCAUAAAAAUGAAGUGCAGUGCAAUGUGUUUGAAGAUGAAGAACUGGAGGAGACUUGCUUUACGGUAAGACUCUGGAGAAUGUAACUGUUACAUAGGUAUAGUCAUUUUUAACGGUGGUCAG
Molecule: long non-coding RNA, 496 nt
Organism: Protopterus annectens (West African lungfish)
Lineage: Eukaryota; Metazoa; Chordata; Ceratodontiformes; Protopteridae
Exons: 3
Source: RefSeq, a predicted model, not a curated record